GAUGAACGCUGGCGGCGUGCCUAAUACAUGCAAGUCGAGCGAACAGACGAGGAGCUUGCUCCUCUGACGUUAGCGGCGGACGGGUGAGUAACACGUGGAUAACCUAUCUAUAAGACUGGGAUAACUUCGGGAAACCGGAGCUAAUACCGGAUAAUAUAUUGAACCGCAGGGUUCAAUAGUGAAAUACGGUUUUGCUGUCACUUAUAGAUUGAUCCGCGCCGCAUUAGCUAGUUGGUAAGGUAACGGCUUACCAAGGCAACGAUGCGUAGCCGACCUGAGAGGGUGACCGGCCACACUGGAACUGAGACACGGUCCAGACUCCUACGGGAGGCAGCAGUAGGGAAUCUUCCGCAAUGGGCGAAAGCUUGACGGAGCAACGCCGCGUGAGUGAUGAAGGUCUUCGGAUCGUAAAACUCUGUUAUUCGGGAAGAACAAAUGUGUAAGUAACUAUGCACGUCUUGACGGUACCUAAUCAGAAAGCCACGGCUAACUACGUG
RNAcentral lists this ribosomal RNA (497 nucleotides) under uncultured bacterium. Its description in RNAcentral is "partial 16S ribosomal RNA". It matches the Rfam family "Bacterial small subunit ribosomal RNA", at positions 28 to 507 of the family's 1533-position model. The record is from RNAcentral.